CAUCGGACGCUGCUGCGUGGUGGCCUUGGAUUUUGUGCAUGUGCACGUGUGUCUCUUGCUACGUGUCCUUUGUGAACUGAUGUGCAGUGUGGAAGAGUCUUCACUCUGCAGCGAUGAGCUGCUGAUCGAAGAAGUGCGACAAAGGCCGCUACUUUACCACCAGCACCUCGAAACGUAUUGUGAUAACAGGCUCCAGAACGACACCUGGCUUGAUGUAGCGAAUAAAUUGAAACAAUGUGCCCCGCCACUACGUCGGUGUACCCUCAAGUAGACUGCCUUUAUUGGCGCCUCCGUUGUCUUUCCCCUGUCAAACUUGGAGCCGGGAACCCUGAAAAAGGUGCAAUGCAGUUGCCGAACUGCAGCAUAUUUGGAGUUGCCUUGGGUAGAAGUUUCUUCGGCUGGGAAAUGUGUGCCACAAGUCUGACACCGGCGCAGCGGGCGUUGAGAAGUCGUGGGUUCUCAUGCCGCACCUCAUGUUCCUGGCCGAUGCAAUGCAACGACGAACCACCGUCUGCACACUGAUGGGAAAAGAUGGGAGAGGAUUCGAGGUGUCCCAUGCUCAGUCACCUCAGUCUGUCACUGACGCAGCGUCAUCAAUACAAAAUAUGUGUCGCACAUUUUAUGUAAACAAUACCCAGCAGACGUCACUGUCUUACGACUUACUGCACGAAUUCCCCUGUCACAAAGUUUGUCCAAGUGCAGCUGCUUCCUCAGCACCAAGUAUUGAGGCAGAUAGACUGCCUGUCGGAAAAACAUCAAAGUCGGCAACGAGCUUGGAACAAAUUUCUUUGUAUGUCGCAGGUUCACCACAUCGCUCAACUUGCUCUGGAGAAGUUUCUUCGAAAUCAAGAAAUUGUAAGCAAGCUCACAAAAAGUAAAAAGAAUGACCUUGAUGA
This is a long non-coding RNA of Dermacentor albipictus, 896 nucleotides long. RefSeq lists it as uncharacterized. The record is from RefSeq and is a predicted model, not a curated record. Lineage: Eukaryota; Metazoa; Arthropoda; Arachnida; Ixodida; Ixodidae.